GACGAACGCUGGCGGCGUGCCUAAUACAUGCAAGUCGAACGCUGAAGGAGGAGCUUGCUUCUCUGGAUGAGUUGCGAACGGGUGAGUAACGCGUAGGUAACCUGCCUGGUAGCGGGGGAUAACUAUGGGAAACGAGAGCUAAUACCGCAUAAGAGUAGAUGUUGCAUGACAUUUGCUUAAAAUGUGCAGUUGCAUCACUACCAGAUGGACCUGCGUUGUAUUAGCUAGUUGGUGGGGUAACGGCUCACCAAGGCGACGAUACAUAGCCGACCUGAGAGGGGGAUCGGCCACACUGGGACGGAGACACGGCCCAGACUACUACGGGAGGCAGCAGUAGGGAAUCUGAGGCAAUGGACGGAAGUCUGACCGAGCAACGCCGCGUGAGUGAAGAAGGGUUUCGGAUCGUAAAGCUCGGUUGUAAGAGAAGAACGAGUGUGAGAGUGGAAAGUUCACACUGUGACGGUAUCUUACAAGAAAGGGACGGCUAACUACGUG
RNAcentral lists this ribosomal RNA (495 nucleotides) under uncultured bacterium. Its description in RNAcentral is "partial 16S ribosomal RNA". It matches the Rfam family "Bacterial small subunit ribosomal RNA", at positions 28 to 507 of the family's 1533-position model. The record is from RNAcentral.